AUCGCUUCUCGGUCUUUCAGCCAAGAUCAAAGUGUAGUAUCUUGUUAUUAGCUUUAUAUCCGGUAUAUUCCUAAUAUGGGAACUUCGAUAUUAAACUGAUUUUUGAUUACCGCCGAAGUGUUGGAGCUUGCUCUAACUUUGCCACGAGUAGACCUGAUUGAUAUUGCAGGACAUCCAGGUAUUUGGUUAUGUAAC
Molecule: small nuclear RNA, 195 nt
Organism: Octopus sinensis (East Asian common octopus)
Lineage: Eukaryota; Metazoa; Mollusca; Cephalopoda; Octopoda; Octopodidae
Product: U2 spliceosomal RNA
Exons: 1
Source: RefSeq, a predicted model, not a curated record